This 429-nucleotide ribosomal RNA is filed under the name Chloroflexota bacterium. RNAcentral describes it as "Chloroflexi bacterium partial 16S ribosomal RNA". It matches the Rfam family "Bacterial small subunit ribosomal RNA", at positions 355 to 776 of the family's 1533-position model. The record is from RNAcentral. Lineage: Bacteria; Bacillati; Chloroflexota.
UGGGGAAUAUUGCACAAUGGGCGCAAGCCUGAUGCAGCCAUGCCGCGUGUAUGAAGAAGGCCUUCGGGUUGUAAAGUACUUUCAGCGGGGAGGAAGGGAGUAAAGUUAAUACCUUUGCUCAUUGACGUAACCCGCAGAAGAAGCACCGGCUAACUCCGUGCCAGCAGCCGCGGUAAUACGGAGGGUGCAAGCGUUAAUCGGAAUUACUGGGCGUAAAGCGCACGCAGGCGGUUUGUUAAGUCAGAUGUGAAAUCCCCGGGCUCAACCUAGGAACUGCAUCUGAUACUGGCAAGCUUGAGUCUCGUAGAGGGGGGUAGAAUUCCAGGUGUAGCGGUGAAAUGCGUAGAGAUCUGGAGGAAUACCGGUGGCGAAGGCGGCCACCUGGACGAAGACUGACGCUCAGGUGCGAAAGCGUGGGGAGCAAACAGG